AGCAGCCGCGGUAAUUCCAGCUCCAAUAGCGUAUAUUAAAGUUGUUGCAGUUAAAAAGCUCGUAGUUGAAUUUCGGGGUUAGUAGGUUGGUCAUGCCUCUGGUAUGUACUGAUCUCACUGAUUCCUCCUUCCUUAUGAACCGUAAUGCCAUUAAUUUGGUGUUGCGGGGAAUUUGGACUGUUACUUUGAAAAAAUUAGAGUGUUUAAAGCAGGCUAACGCUUGAAUACAUUAGCAUGGAAUAAUGAAAUAGGACGUUCGAUCUUAUUUUGUUGGUUUCUAGGAUUGACGUAAUGAUUAAUAGGGAUAGUUGGGGGCAUUAGUAUUCAAUUGUCAGAGGUGAAAUUCUUGGAUUUAUUGAAGACUAACUACUGCGAAAGCAUUUGCCAAGGAUGUUUUCAUUAAUCAAGAACGAAAGUUAGGGGAUCGAAGACGAUCAGAUACCGUCGUAGUCUUAACCAUAAACUAUGCCGACUAGGGAUCGGAUGAUGUUAAUUUUUUAAUGACUCAUUC
This 511-nucleotide ribosomal RNA is filed under the name uncultured fungus. RNAcentral describes it as "SSU rRNA". It matches the Rfam family "Eukaryotic small subunit ribosomal RNA", at positions 569 to 1081 of the family's 1831-position model. Lineage: Eukaryota; Fungi. The record is from RNAcentral.